Molecule: ribosomal RNA, 347 nt
Filed under: Scobina strophosa
Lineage: Eukaryota; Metazoa; Arthropoda; Insecta; Hymenoptera; Argidae
Description: partial 16S ribosomal RNA
Source: RNAcentral
AUAAUAAUUAGUCUUUUAAUUAAAGGCUGGAAUGAAUGAUUGGACGAGAUAAAUUCUGUCUCAUUAAAAUUAAAAUUUAAAUUUAAUUUUUAAGUUAAAAAGCUUAAAUAAAAUUAGAGGACGAGAAGACCCUAUAGAACUUUAUAAUAUAUAAUUAAUAAAUUUUAAUUUAAUUUUAUUAAUUUAAAAUUAUUUUAUUGGGGUGAUAGGAAAAUUAAUAUAACUUUUUUAAAUUUAUUACAUAAAUUAAUGAUUUUUUGAUCCUAUUUUUUAGAUUGUUAGAUUAAGUUACCUUAGGGAUAACAGCGUUAUUUUUUUUUAGAGUUCAUAUUAAUAAAAAAGAUUGC